RNAcentral lists this ribosomal RNA (433 nucleotides) under uncultured bacterium. Its description in RNAcentral is "partial 16S ribosomal RNA". It matches the Rfam family "Bacterial small subunit ribosomal RNA", at positions 29 to 507 of the family's 1533-position model. The record is from RNAcentral.
AACGAACGCUGGCGGCAUGCCUAACACAUGCCAGUCGAACGAGACCUUCGGGUCUAGUGGCGCACGGGUGCGUAACGCGUGGGAACCUGCCCUUAGGUUCGGAAUAACUCCCCGAAAGGGGUGCUAAUACCGGAUAAUGUCUUCGGACCAAAGAUUUAUCGCCUUUGGAUGGGCCCGCGUUGGAUUAGCUAGUUGGUAGGGUAAAAGCCUACCAAGGCGGCGAUCCAUAGCUGGUCUGAGAGGAUGAUCAGCCACACUGGGACUGAGACACGGCCCAGACUCCUACGGGAGGCAGCAGUGGGGAAUAUUGGACAAUGGGCGAAAGCCUGAUCCAGCAAUGCCGCGUGAGUGAUGAAGGCCUUAGGGUUGUAAAGCUCUUUUACCCGGGAUGAUAAUGACAGUACCGGGAGAAUAAGCUCCGGCUAACUCCGUG